AUGGCCGACGCCGCCGACCAAAACCCUAAGGACGCCGGGAACCGCGUGCCCGAGCCAUGGGCUGGCGCCGAUGGAGAAAUCGCCGAUGAGGAGUACGAGUACGAGGAGGAGGAGGAGCUGGACGAGCGGGCGGCCGCGGCCCUCGAGCGGGAGAAGGUGCAGUCCGUGUUCCGGAGGCUCUCCUCGGACCUGGUGGGGAUCCGCGUCCACGACGUCAUCAUCAGGGGCAACGCCAAGACGCGUGAGGAGCUCAUCGAGGCGGAGGUUGCCGACCUCCUCCGCUCCGCCACCACCGUGCAGGACCUGCUGAGCGCCGCGGCCGAUGCCAGCGCGCGGCUCCGCGGGCUCGACGUGUUCGAGGCCGUCAACAUCACGCUCGAUGCCGGCCCGCCCGAACUGCCCGGCACCACCAACGUCGUCAUUGAGGUCGUCGAGCCCGCCAUCCCCAUCAGCGGCAACGCUGGCGUCUUCUCCAAGCCGGAGGCAAAAGCAUGGUCACUGGAAGGGGCUGUUAAGUGGAAGAAUUUGGCUGGCUAUGCAGACAUCUGGGAUGCUUCAGUUGCAUAUGGUUGGGACCAAACAACAGAGGUUGGUGUAGGAGUCUCGCUGCCAAGAUUUAAAUCAAUACCAACACCCUUGAUGGCUCGGGCUUCAUUGUUGUCACAAGAUUGGAUGAAGUUCUCAUCAUACAAGGAGCGUCUACUUGGUCUUUCAUUUGGUUUGCUUUCAACCAGGCACCACGAUUUAUCUUACAAUCUUACAUGGCGUACCUUGACUGAUCCGUCACGCCUCGCGUCAACGUCCAUCAGAAGGCAGUUAGGGCAUAACCUUCUAUCUGCAUUGAAAUACACAUACAAGAUUGAUCAAAGGGAUUCACAUAUCAGGCCAACAAAAGGAUAUGCAUUUCUCUCAUCCUCUCAAGUUGGUGGUCUUUGGGAUAACAAAGGAUUGAAUUUUUUUCGCCAGGAGUUUGAUGCUCGUGCUGCCGUGCCUUUUGGAUUCUGGAACGCUGCUCUCAAUGUUGGUGUAGGAGCUGGUGUUGUUUUACCACUGGCAAGAGGAUUUAUGAAUUCGUCUACACCUGUUACUGAUAGAUUUAACCUGGGAGGUCACUCUUCUCCAGUUUGCAGCCUGGGUGGAAUAUCAUCCUUGCUCGGUUUCAGAACAAGAGGGGUUGGCCCGACAGAAGCACGGAGGCUUGUCCCCGGCGCGUCAGAAGAUGGUUCUGCUGCUGUUCCAGGGAGGGAUUACUUGGGCGGCGAUCUCGCUGUUUCUGCCUUUGCGGACCUUUCCUUUGAUCUGCCUCUGAAGGUGUUUAGAGAUGCUGGAAUACAUGGUCAUGCGUUUCUCACUGCUGGGAAUCUUGUGAAACUGUCGGAGGGCCAGUACAAAAACUUGUCGCUUGAUGAAUUCCGCCGUUCGUUUAGGAGUAGUGCUGGCGUCGGCAUUAUUUUGCCGACUAAACUAUUCCGGGUCGAGGUGAACUACUGCUACAUUCUGAAGCAAUCUCAGCACGACAGUGGAAAGACGGGAAUUCAGUUCAGCUUCUCCUCGCCCUCGUAG
RNAcentral lists this ribosomal RNA (1563 nucleotides) under Triticum aestivum (bread wheat). RNAcentral describes it as "partial small subunit ribosomal RNA". Lineage: Eukaryota; Viridiplantae; Streptophyta; Magnoliopsida; Poales; Poaceae. The record is from RNAcentral.